Molecule: ribosomal RNA, 407 nt
Filed under: uncultured bacterium
Lineage: Bacteria
Description: partial 16S ribosomal RNA
Rfam family: Bacterial small subunit ribosomal RNA
Source: RNAcentral
AUUGAACGCUGGCGGCAGGCCUAACACAUGCAAGUCGAGCGGAGCGGCGGACGGGGGAGUAAUGCCUAGGAAUCUGACUGGGAGUGGGGGAUAACGUCCGGAAACGGGCGCUAAUACCGCAUACUAUCAGAUGAGCCUAGGUCGGAUUAGCUAGUUGGUGGGGUAAAGGCCCACCACGGCGCCGAUCCGUAACUUGUCGGAGAGGAUGAUCAGUCACACGGGAAAUGUGACACGGUCCAGACUCCUACGCGAGGCAGCAGUGGGGAAUAUUGGACAAUGGGCGAAAGCCUGAUCCAGCCAUGCCGCGUGUGUGAAGAAGGUCUUCGGAUUGUAAAGCACUUUAAGUUGGGAGGCGUUACCAACAGAAUAAGCACCGGCUAACUUCGUGCCAGCAGCCGCGGUAAUUC